Molecule: long non-coding RNA, 509 nt
Organism: Apis dorsata (giant honeybee)
Lineage: Eukaryota; Metazoa; Arthropoda; Insecta; Hymenoptera; Apidae
Exons: 2
Source: RefSeq, a predicted model, not a curated record
UUUGAAGGAGAUUUAGAAUAAUAUAAUUUGAAUUUUAAUAACGAAGUCGAAAGCGUAAAGCAGUGAUGAAUCGGCGUCGUUGAGAUUCACGACACUUUUAAGAAAUUAUCGUUGAGCUAGAAAUAACAUCUUACCUAGAUUCAUAGAUUUGAUUUCACAGUUACAGAAUUGGAGUUAAAUUUCGAGAAAAAGAUCCGAUUAAGUCCCGGGAAGGAAUGAAAUACGGAUGGUAAACGACAUUUGUAAAUUUUAAUACCGAGGAUGGGAGUGGCUGUUUAAAAAUUGAGGCCAUGUUUUACGUCCACCGGCACGUGGGAGAACUUCUCCAACAACGAUAAUAUUUCAACGAAAAAAUUCAUCUGGAGAAACAGCGGCAAAAGCAAUUUUUCUGUUUUUAAGGAUGCGAUAAAUAUUUUCGACACGAGAAAUUUAUAAUAUAAUACGAGUAACCACGACAUAUAUUUCGUAAUAACAGAAUGAACAAAAGUUUAUCUCGUAAUUUCAGGAUU